AGUGCUGGGAUUACAGGUAUGAGCCACCAUGCCCGGCCCUCCCUUUCUUUUGUGUCUUUGGAUUUGUCUUUGUGGAGAGGGUACCAGCCCCACCUGCAGAGUCAAGUCCCUCCUCCCACCUCAGCACUGCUAGAAAAGAGCUUCAGGAUGGAGCCACACAUGUCACUCAAGCCCAAGGGUCAGUCAACAGCCCACAGCCCUAAAUUCAUCUGUGUCCAAUGCCAGACCCUGCAACUGCUGAUUUACAUGAAUCAACUCCAUCAUGCAAGCCUCAUGACAUCCCAAUGAGCCACCAUCCUGUGAGGAAGCCCAGAGCACAUGAAGAGACCACCUGCACAUGUUCAGAUCCACUGCCCCAGCUAAGAUCUCCGCUGACAGCCAGACCAAUCACCAAUCUUAGGAGCUGGCGAGCCUUCAGAUGGUCCAACCUUUGAGGCCCCCCAGAGGAGCCAGGUGGAGCAUAGAUGAGCCAUCCAUGUGGAUCCCUCCACCAAAUGGAAGAUUUAGGAGCAAAAUAAACAAUGUUGUCAUUGCUUUCACCCACGAAAUUGUUGAAUAAUUUGUUUUGCUGCUUAAGUAGCUGGAACACUGUGUUACCGAGGGAAGAGCAACAACCAACAGGAGAGAAUAGUCAGUUAAGUAAGAGAUUUUUGACCCUCUCCCU
Molecule: long non-coding RNA, 664 nt
Filed under: Homo sapiens (human)
Lineage: Eukaryota; Metazoa; Chordata; Mammalia; Primates; Hominidae
Description: HSALNT0342269
Source: RNAcentral